Molecule: transfer RNA, 75 nt
Filed under: Acinetobacter phage YMC13/03/R2096
Lineage: Duplodnaviria; Heunggongvirae; Uroviricota; Caudoviricetes
Description: tRNA-Gln
Rfam family: tRNA
About the family: Transfer RNA (tRNA) molecules are approximately 80 nucleotides in length. Their secondary structure includes four short double-helical elements and three loops (D, anti-codon, and T loops).
Source: RNAcentral
UGUCGUAUAGUGUAAUGGUUAGCACAGAAGACUUUGACUCUUCUAGUUUAGGUUCGAGUCCUAAUUCGACUACCA